AGCUUAACAUCAGCAUAAUAGGAUAUUUUAUGUUAUAGGAAUUGGUAAACAUCACGAGUCAGGGCUUGUUGUUUGGUUUUGUUUUUCCAAACAGUCUGUUUCCCCUUAGACCACGUUACCAGUUUCAUUUUGUUCCCUAGAGGCAAGUCUUCCAGAGCAUCUGCAGUUGCAGGCAGCAAGGCUGCCCUCCUUCCUUAGAGGGCAUCAUGUCCCAGAGGGCUUCCUUUGUCUCCCUCCUGCAUUGUUUUCCUUUUGCUGGGUCAAGUGUCUAUUUCUUUUUUAUUUAUUCCAUUUGAGAUGAAAAGCUAGACAAAACAAGAAAAAAGGGGCCAGCCAGAUGUCCGAGGCUGGAAACUCCCCUUUCAAACUUUUGGCUUUUGUAACCUUGCUUGCUGCCUGCCUCCACCAAUGGCCCAGAGAGCACCACUGGGGCUGCUCUAUUGAGUUAGUAGCUCCCAGUACUGCCUUUGACACCCACACGCCUGCACUGAUGGCAUACUCCAUUCAAGUUGGUGCUUACACGAGGCUACCUUGGAAUUCAGGACUGGAAGAAAAAAUAGCUAACCUGAAAGUAUCAUCAAGAGGACCAAGGGAUGAAUGCCUGUGAAGCUCUUAGAACAUUGCCUGCAUCUGCUUGGUGUCUGAUUGAUGCCAGCUGGCACAUCAUCCAUUCUGUGGAAAUUCCACAGUUGAUUCAUUUCCCACAGAAUUUUCUGUGCUGUGACCCCAGACUCCCUCUGUUUAGCAAGCCUGGCUGCCAGAGACUGUGAAUGAGCCUGCAGUGCAGCAAGUUGGAGACAGUUGAAUUUUCACUCCUGGAUUCCUUCUCACCCUCUAGGGCACCCUUGGUACCCCUCUAAGUGUCCUCCAGGUGUCCAGGUGUCCUCCAUAUAUCUACAUGUCUUUGCACUUACCAUAUUUCUAAGAUAGAUCCCUGAGGUGGUGUGGCUGUUGGUGGCUCUCAGGUUCUGCUUGGCUGGGGAUGCAUAGGCAACCUGAUGCACUGGAAAGAGCUGUGGCAGAAAACCCAGAGCCCAUAACUGCCCAGGCCCUGCCAUCAGGAGCCAUGUGACCUCUGAGAACCUCACCUAAAUAAUCCACAUUUGAAUCAGCUCAAUGCUACAGUCCCUUGCAGCUCAAAAGUCUCCAGUUCUAAGGGGUUUGACUCCUUAUUUUGGCACAGAAGGGAUAGAUAGAAAUAAAAAUAGACAAUAGAUGUCAGCAUCAAAACAGAUGCCCUGUGUCAUCAGAGACUGCAUUAUAGUGAUAUUUUCCUACUAAUGGUUUAGACAAAAGCCUGGAGUGUGUUUUGAGGGUAGGGAGAGAAAGGGGACUGAUAGGUAGGAUGGUGAGAUUGGCUAACAAGAUUAGGUCUUCUAGAAUGUGUGCAGCCCUUGAAGGACUCCAGGGCCCCAAGUAUAAUAAAAACUUCGGAUGUAUGAAUUCCUCCAAGGUUGCUCUGGAUGAGGGCAUAGGAGUACAAACUUGCCAAUAAUAUAGAAAUUGGGAAUUAUUGGAGCUGAGAAUGGCUUAAAGUUCUUUUUGUCCAACAUCACAUGUUUAAAGGGCACAAAAACCAGAAAUUAAAGGUUUUUCCAGGAGUGAUAGCUCAUAGUUGUAAAAAUUGCAAUCAGAGCCCAGUUGCCCAGACUUUGAUGCCAGGACCAGCUCUGACCUGCAAACUAGGGGAUGAGAAUCAGAAUAUCUUCAAAAUUGGAUAUUCCAUGAUUCUCCAAAUAGAAGGGGGGUUGUUUGUUUGUUUUCUGGUUUUUAUAUCAGUAAUGUAAAAUAUCUUAACAAAACUCUAGAGUUCUGGCUCAUGACUUCAAUUGCACAUUGAAAAUCACCUAUGGAACUUUAAAAGCUCCUGACUCUUAGCAACAUUAUAUUCAGAUAUAGUUGGAUAAGGAGGUACAGCUUGGGCACCAUGGUUUUUGAAACACCUCCAGAUGGUUCUAGGUGCAGCUCACAUUGAGGAACUCCCUGCAUAAUGGGUCCUGUGGGCCUGCAGCAUUGCCUAGACUGGGAGCUUGUCAACCAUGCAGAACCUCACACCCUCCCCAGACCUGGUGAGUCAGCACCUGUCUUUCAACAAAGUGAUUAGUUUACAACAUGUAGUUUAAUAAACACAGCUGUAGUCUACAGCAAUCCUGGUGCUUCUCCAGAAAUAGGCAGUGAUGUGGUGACAUUCAAAUCAGAUUCCACAAGUAGAUUUCAGAAUUCCAGGGAGCAGCAACAGUACAGCUAAGGCUCCUCCUUUCUAAACUGUGUGAUGUGGAACCAGCUUCCUCUUUUCCAUAGGGACAGUGAUGGCCCUGAGAUUGGGGCAGUGAAAUAUGUAGGUGAUCAGGGCAAGGUCUGGGACAGGUACAAGCUCUGGGAUGUACCCAGCAACCCCCUCCUUUCCCUUAGCCCUUCUUCUGCUUUUGGUUUAGGAUGCACUUUUGUUAAUUUUUAAACUAUCAUAUUUACUAAAUACCUAUUUCUAAAUAUGCUGCUCAUGUGACUUACCUCUCAAAUCAUUAUCCAGAUAUGAUGAUCCAUUAAAUGACUAUAGCAACAUUGCUUCAUUCUAGUGUGUUUGGAGAGGGACAUAGGUGAAGAUGACAGGGAAACAAGGGGUCAAGAAUGGCUCUAAGUUUGUGUUUUGUUGUGAUUUUGUUGGUUUAAAAGGCAACUGCUAAUGGAGAAGAGGGUUCUGUGCUGUCAACAAGUCUGGGUACAGAUGUGGAAGGAAGAUGAGGUGCCUCAUUGGGUAGGGCUAGGCCUUGGAUCUCCUUCCAGUGGCUCUGAAGGGGCAAAAGUAAUGACAAAGACUGGGAAGCUGGUGGUUGUCAGGCAGGAAGUGGCUAUGGGGGAUGGCUGAAAUAAAGGGUAAUAAGAGUAUACUUAUUGUGAUGAGCACUGAGUAAUGUAUAGAAUUGUUGAAUCACUAUAUUGUACACCUGAAACUAAUAUAAUACUGUAUGUAAUUAUACUUCAAUAAAAGCAAAUUAAAAAAAGUAAUGGAGUGUAACUGAGCUGCCCCUAAUACUCCUCCUCCAAUGAAAGGCCAAAAAUCUGCCUUCUCAGAAAUUGCUAGAAAGAGAACAAUGGCACUUCCAAGCAGCCAGUGUGAGGGCAGCACAACUGCUGAGCACAGAGACUGCACAUUCAGCUCCAUGGACAGGACAGCCUUUUAGUUUCCAGCUCUAACGUUCUCUUAUGUCCUGUGCUGGGAAUUAUCCUUGGCCUGAUGUGUCAGCCAGGAUACAUCAGGACCUGUAUCAGCUCAGCUGCUUGGGGCACAAAUUAUCCUGAAGAGGAAAAUUAGGACUUUCAGAAGGGAGAACAACAUCCCAAGGACCCCACAAUCACACAUACUUUCUGGAUCAGUGGCCUCCCUAGAACACCAGAAGAGAGCCACAGAAAAGAGGCAAGUGUCAAGUGCCUCAUCCUUGAGGCCUGUUAAAUGGGAUGAGGCACAUCUGACUUAGCUGCAGGCAUCAGCCUCCCCAGGCCUGCUGCUGUUCUGAGCCAAACAUAGAACAUACUCAGCAUCAGGCUGGAGGCUCAUAGGCCAAGAAAGAUGUGCUGGAAGUAAAGCUUUUAGCCCUGGGAUUUCUCCUCACCUCCUCAUGGCCACAUUCUAGAAUGUUGCGCUGUCUGCAGAAGACUUAACUGCACCCAAUUGUGGGAGGAGAAUUCAGGCUUUCUGGAUAGCUCCAAGAAGAGAAAUAAAAGUACAUUUUGGUGCAGCCACUGUCUCAACCAUGCCCCAUCUUAUACUCAUGCACAACCACACUUCUACAUGUGCUCACCCACACCCACAUUUAAACACACACACCACAAAUCACCCAGAUCAUAACCCUAAGAAACUAUGUGUCAUCCAAUCCACUUCUUGAAUUUACCUGUGGCCAGCCAGCCAGCAAACUGGACUCUUGAAAGAAUGCAGAGAUGAUGCCCCAGAUCUCCAGAAGCCAAGUACAAACCCCACAUCAGACUCUGGAACUAGUGUCCUUUGUGCAGAGACACUGAGAGUUCUGAUUAAGGGGUGUUUAUGGUCGUAAAGGCAUCACAGCUUGCACAGAAAGCUGCUCAGCUUCCCUAAUUGGCACAAGCUGACAGAGAAAGAGAAUGAAGAAUGAGACACUCCCAUGAACCUUCCAUCCCUUUCAGAAAUCUACAAGCUCCCCCAGGCUCUAGUCCAUGGGUGCUGAGUCCUGGGACAGAGCUGGUGGGGGGUCUAGGAGGCUGCUUUAUGGAAAGUCUCAGAACUUGGCUUUGAAAAAGUUACUCGUGGGUCUUAAGACUCUUAUCCAGUGAUGGACAGAUCCCAAAAACAGUAGCAGUCAUUCAACUUCCCCAGCUCCUCAAGGGGCACCUGAUGCACUCAGCUGAAAUGUAAAAGAUAAAUAUCUAUCAGAUUCUUAUCAUAUAAACAAACAAAAAUAUCCACAAUCCUUUUUCCUAGUCAGUCUUCCUGGACAACACACAGGAAGCCUGACGACAAAGUCACAAAGAUCUACAUGCCACAGAGAAAAUAUGGGAGCAUCCAAAACUCUGAGUAAUCAGACUCCUGCCCCAUUAAAGGUACAGCGUGGCUCCCUUAAAGUCUCUCGCCUGGGCAGCCCUGCCCCAAAACUCCCAUCCUUCUCAUCCUGGCACCUGAAAUGUAGAUUUAAGGAAAUGGGUGAUGGCUUAAAAAAAUGCCCUGCUGCCUUUUUGGCUAACCCAAAAUAGAAAACCUAUAAAAUAUAUCAAGGGCACUGAUGUGACUCAAUCCACUAUUCUGUUUACUCAUUGCUUGGUUGUGGGAGCAUAGCCUAUCUUAGUCCAGAAAUGUAAAGCUCAUGAUUCAUCUCCAUGCCCUCUGCCCAAUGCUCCCACUGUUUGUGGAGAAGCUCAAGAAAUGCUUCCUAGUAAUGAUGACAUCAGGAUAGCAAGUUUGCUGCUUUCUGCAUUUUCCCAGCAGAGCCUCCAUUUUAAUCAGUGUCACACUAUUGGUUCAGUAUACAAUUUUUCUAAAGGGAAUUUUGCCUUCAAUAUGGAAACUCAGGAAGUUCAGGUUUUACUUAUUUUUGAUCUGUUGAACUAAAAAUUUAAAAAAAAAUCAAGAAAGGAUAUUGUUUUUUGUUUGUUUUGUAUUGGAGCACCUGGACACUGUUACAUUGUCACUAUUAUGAAUCAGAGAGGCUUAGGGGGGUUUAAAAGUUAAACUCACUUCAGCUUUAUAAGCUAUUUAUAAGGUCCUCCCUGCCUGCCUGAUUGUCUCUUCCUAUUAUUACAAAGUCAUUUUUGGUCCCAGUUCCUAUAAUACUAAGAAUUGCUCACCCAUGGUUGUUUAGUUCUCCUAGGCAAAAGGGGCUUUUAUGAAAUUCAAGCUCAAGCAGACAAAAUUCAGCCUUCCAAAGGAGUGAACAAUUUAAAUGGAGCAGAAGACACAAAGGGAGGGUGAUAUUCUGGUGCCUUUCUUUGUUCUUGGGAGCUGGGAAGAAGAGUGAAGAGCCCUCUCCCACCCGAACUCCCACCUCCUGGUAAGUAGGGCUCUCUCCCCUCUCCUCCAGGUCUCUGACCUUUUCUUUCUUCCUCCCACCAACUGCAGUGCAGCCAGUCCUAGUGAGUACUAAUAAAGGAGGAAAAGGGACCCAACAGGUAGCCCUAGACCAUUUCCCCAGUAACAAAAAGAGGCCUGAAUAGAAGCCCCCCUGUCUCCAAGCUCUACCUUUCAGUGCCUGGCCAAAGCCCCAAAGCCAAAACUGCUGGGUUUUCUCCAAGUCACACCCAGUCAUAUGGCAUCUUUACUCCUCAUGCUACUUGGCUGGUGACUAUAAAUGAGACAGCAGGAUUAGCAACCAAGUCCCAUUAGAGCCAAGGGCUGCAGAUCAUGGAGUGCCCUUGUGGUCAGUGUCUUCAUUAUUGUUGGCCUUUCUCUUCUUGCCCCAUUCAUAUUUUCUCUUUCCUUUUUUUCUCCAGAGUCCCAGUUUUCUCCUGAUAUUUUAUGGAAAGGGUUAUAUUUAUACAUUUUUUCAUUUAAGAAGAUUUCCUUUUUCUUUCAACAACAGUAUUUAAUUUUAUACUCACAAAAACAAUAUCUUUGAGGUAAGAAGUAAACAGGGGUUCUAACCUGCAUUUCACAGACCAGAGAACCCCAAACCAGCUAGAAGACAAAAAUGCUUACAUUCACAUAAUGAGAAAGAGGCUUGGCUCUUUCUUCCAAGUCAGGGAAGAAACUAUGUGCUGAAUAUCCCAGGAAGCCACAGAGUUUCAAAGGGACUUCACAUUAGUUAGCAUGCCAGGACCCCAGUAGAUGGAAGAGGUGGCUCCUCUUACCAUGGCACUUCUGGUUUUCAUGCACAGCUGUUGUCACUAAUGCAGUGUCAAUUCAUUCUGAAUUAGUAGUAUCUAGGUCUUUAUACAUAUUCUCAAUUGACAGAUACUGAAAGAACAAUCAUAAUCUAGGGGAAUCCAUGAUUUUUUUUUCUUUUCACUCAAAAGAGCUCUCUUAAAGGAUUAAGAAUAUCAGAGAAGGGUCAGACAAUUGCCUGCUACCAUUUCCCAAAGUGGGGUGUGCAUCCUGCUGCUGGCACAGGGAUAAUUUUAGGGCCUAUAAUGACGUUUUUUAUUUGAGUGUGUUAGUUUCCAUUUGCAGCCAUAGCAUUGCUUUUUUUAAAAAAGAAUAUUCAAGUAGAAAAGCAAGUUGAUAUAAAGAAAAGACUGGUAGUUAACUGGCUCAGCAGUUUUUUGGGAAGUGUUAAUUACAGGUGUGAAGGACAUUUGUCCAAACUGACACUGUACCAAGUUAGGCAAUCAGGAUGUCAAUGAAGGAAAAAUUGGCAAAAUGGAUCCAUUGCCAACCACUAGUGUGAAGUGUCCUGUGCACAAGUAUCCAUGUGAAGUAGGGUCAACUGACAGGAGCUGAGUUGGCCUCUGGUCCCACAAUUCUUGCAGCCUCAUCAAGGAGACUACCAUGAGGACAGUGACAGCAAAGAAAAGGCCUAGGAUAGUUCUGGCAAUUAUUCAUCAGUGACAUCAUCAAACAUAAUAGCAUUCAAAUUAUAGGUAUCCCAGAAGGAGAAGAUAGAGAAGAGGUGGCAGAAUGCACAUGAAGAAAUAAUAGCUGAAAACUUUCUUACACUGGGAAAGGAAACAAACAUCCAAAUCCAGCCUGCACAGAGAACCUCCAACAAAAUUAACCCAUAGAGGUCCACAUCAAGACACAUAAUAAUUAAAAUGGUGAGCAGUAGUGAUAAAAAGAGAAUUUUAAAAAGCAACAAAAGAAAAUAAUACAGUUACAUACAAGGGAAACCCCAUAAGGCUAUCAGCUGAUAUUUCAGCAGAAACUUUGCAUGCCAGAAGGGAGUGGCAUGAUAUAUUCAAAGUACUGAUAGGAAAAAACCUGCAAUCAACAAUAAUCUACAAAGAAAUUUUAUCAUUCAGAAUAGAAGGGGAGGUAAAGAGUUUCCCAGAAAAACAAAAGUUAAAGGAGUUCAUCACCACUAAACCACCCUUACAAGAAAUAUUAAAAGGAAUUCUUUGAGUAGAAAGAAGAGACCAUAAUCAGAAGAAAUAAAAUUAUGAAGAAAAAAUUCACAGGUACAUAAAGACAUAAUAAAAGUAGAUUAAUCACUUAUGAAACAAGUAUGGUGGUCAAACACAAAAUCAGUAAAGUCAAUUAUAUCUACAAAUCACUCAAAGGAUUCACAAAAUAAAAAUACGUAAAGUGUGACAUCAUAUGCAUAUAACAUGUGAAAGAAGUAAGAAUUUGGUGCUCUCGGAAUAGGUUCAAACACAAGUGACCAUCAACUUAGUAUAGAUGGCUAUACACAUAAGAUACUAUAUAUGAACCUAAUGGUAAGCACCAGUCAAAAACCUAUAAGAGAUACAUUCAGAAUAGAGUAGGGAUCCAAGCAGACACUAAAGAAAGUCAUCAAAUCACAGAAGAAAAGAGCAAAGGAAGAAAAAAAAAUAAAGAAGAACUACAAAAACAACCACAAAUCAAGUAACGGAGUGGCGAUAAGUACACAACUAUCAAAAAUUACUUUAAUUGUAAUGUAAAUAUAAAUAUAAAUUAGCUAAAUGCUCCAAUAAAAAGACAUAGGGUGACUGGUUAAUAAAACAAGACCCAUCUAUAUGCUGCCUACAAGAGACUCACUUCAGACCUGAAGACACAUGUAGAUUGAAAGUGAAGGUAAGGAUCUCAGGACCACUAAACCAGUCUUUCAAAAAAUAUUACAGGGGACUCUUGAGUGAAAAGGAGAGACCAGAAAUGACAGCAUAAACUUAUGGAACACAGUAACAGGAAAAAAAAAGAAUAUUUAUGUCAAAAAUCAGUCAAGGAACUCACAAAAUAAAAGGAUAUAAAAUAUAACAACAUAGACCUAAAAUGUAGGGAGAAGAGGAGUAAAUAAUGGGUUUACUUAAAUGACUUAACUUAAUAUAGACUGCUAAACCCAGAUGAUGUUAUGUACAAACCUAAUGGUAACCAUAAAUCAAAACCACUAAUAAAUAUGGAAAUAAUGAAGAAAAUAAAUCCAAUAUCAUUAAAUACAUCACUAAAGAAAACCAGCAAAUUAUGAGAGAAAGACAAGAAAGGAUCAGAGAAAAUCUUCAGAAACAACCACAAAACAAGUAAUAAAAUGGCAAUAAAUGCAUAUUUAUCAAUAAUUGCUCUGAAUUAAAGGGACUAAAUGCUGCAAUAAAAAGACAGAGACUAAACACUCCAAUCAAAAGACAUAGGGUGACAGAAUGGGUAAAAAAUAAGACCCAAAUGCUGCCUACAAGGCACUCAUAUUACACCUUAAGCCACCUGCAUAUCAAAAAUGAGGAGAUGUGGAAGCAUCUGCCUUGCAAAUAGAUGUCAAAAGAAAGUUGGAGUAGCAAUU
Long non-coding RNA from Acinonyx jubatus (cheetah), 8864 nucleotides. RefSeq lists it as uncharacterized. The transcript is spliced from 3 exons. The record is from RefSeq and is a predicted model, not a curated record. NCBI's taxonomy places the organism in Eukaryota, Metazoa, Chordata, Mammalia, Carnivora, Felidae.